UGCGUAGGGUGCGAGCGUUGUCCGGAAUUAUUGGGCGUAAAGGGCUCGUAGGCGGUCUGUCACGUCGGGAGUGAAAACUCAGGGCUUAACCCUGAGCCUGCUUCCGAUACGGGCAGACUAGAGGUAUGCAGGGGAGAACGGAAUUCCUGGUGUAGCGGUGAAAUGCGCAGAUAUCAGGAGGAACACCGGUGGCGAAGGCGGUUCUCUGGGCAUUACCUGACGCUGAGGAGCGAAAGUGUGGGGAGCGAACAGG
RNAcentral lists this ribosomal RNA (253 nucleotides) under uncultured bacterium. RNAcentral describes it as "partial 16S ribosomal RNA". It matches the Rfam family "Bacterial small subunit ribosomal RNA", at positions 524 to 776 of the family's 1533-position model. The record is from RNAcentral.